RNAcentral lists this ribosomal RNA (450 nucleotides) under uncultured bacterium. Its description in RNAcentral is "partial 16S ribosomal RNA". It matches the Rfam family "Bacterial small subunit ribosomal RNA", at positions 338 to 795 of the family's 1533-position model. The record is from RNAcentral.
CCUACGGGUGGCAGCAGUCGGGAAUCUUGGGCAAUGGGCGCAAGCCUGACCCAGCGACGCCGCGUGAGGGAUGAAGGCCUUCGGGUCGUAAACCUCUGGCGGGAGGGAAGAAUGGCGGCAGGGCGAAUAGUCCUGUCGUUUGACGGUACCUCCAAAGGAAGCGCCGGCUAACUCCGUGCCAGCAGCCGCGGUAAUACGGCGGGCGCAAGCGUUCUUCGGAAUCACUGGGCGUAAAGCGCGAGUAGGAGGUGAAAGCCCUAGGCUCAACCUCGGAACGGCAUUCGAAACUGCUCGGCUCGAGUCCCGGAGAGGAUGGCGGAAUUCCCGGUGUAGGGGUGAAAUCCGUAGAUAUCGGGAGGAACACCAGUGGCGAAGGCGGCCAUCUGGACGGUGACUGACGCUGAGACGCGAAAGCGUGGGGAGCAAACAGGAUUAGAUACCCUAGUAGUC